This 455-nucleotide ribosomal RNA is filed under the name uncultured Glomus. RNAcentral's name for it is "SSU rRNA". It matches the Rfam family "Eukaryotic small subunit ribosomal RNA", at positions 569 to 1029 of the family's 1831-position model. The record is from RNAcentral. Lineage: Eukaryota; Fungi; Glomeromycota; Glomeromycetes; Glomerales; Glomeraceae.
AGCAGCCGCGGUAAUUCCAGCUCCAAUAGCGUAUAUUAAAGUUGUUGCAGUUAAAAAGCUCGUAGUUGAAUUUCGGGGCCAGUAGGUUGGUCGUGCCACUGGUAUGCACUGGCCUUACUGGUCCCUCCUUCUUGUAGAACCGUGAUGCCAUUAAUUUGGUGUUGCGGGGAAACAGGACUGUUACUUUGAAAAAUUAGAGUGCUUAAAGCAGGCUCGCGCUUGAAUACAUUAGCAUGGAAUAACGGAAUAGGACGAUCGAACCUAUUUUGUUGGUUUCUAGGAUCGACGUAAUGAUUAAUAGGGAUAGUUGGGGGCAUUAGUAUUCAAUUGUCAGAGGUGAAAUUCUUGGAUUUAUUGAAGACUAACUACUGCGAAAGCAUUUGCCAAGGAUGUUUUCAUUAAUCAAGAACGAAAGUUAGGGGAUCGAAGACGAUCAGAUACCGUCGUAGUCUUAA